CCAGAACUGGGUGGUGAGGGAGACGCUAACGUGGAGGAGGUGAUGGAGGGGGUCAUGUAGCCCCUCCCGACACUGUCCCGUCCUCCCAGUGAGGAGGGUGGAAGAGGUGGGGCAUCGAGGGCCACGCUGCUGACCCGGCUCUCAAUCUCCUCUGCCCUCAGCUCUGUGCUCUCCUUCUCCUCCUGAAUCAGUCUGAGAGGGGAGGAAAAGAAAAGAGAAGGAAAAAGAAGAAAAGACAAUUUGUAAAUGGUUUUGGGCUUAAAAUUCUAUUAUCUCAGGCUCUUGGAUCUUUUAAUCAUUUUGUUCACGGUGACACAAAAAGGCACAGACAUAGAACUUACUUGAUCUCCUUGUUUAUGGCCUCUAGUUGCUCCUGCAGCAUGAUCGCCAAAGUCUGUACAUCUGUCUGUCCGCUGGGAGAGAGAAGCUCCGAUCCGAACAGCGUCUCCCUGUCCUCCUCGUCAUCAGAGCAGCCUCCCUCCACACCGCCCUCAAAACCAGGACCCAGCAUAGUGCCGCUGUCCCACUCUCCAUACUGGAAAGAGGGAAAAAUGGAGGCCCCCACCGGCCGCGGUGCGCCCGCCUGACCACCACCCCACUAGAGGAGCUGCCAUAACCAGCCGGGAGCGAGCCUCCACCCUGAGGGUACCGCAGCUCUGAGGCGCUCCCUGGAAGAGAUCUUCGAAAAAGGGUGGAGGGAAGUGAGCUCACGCUGCCCGCCCUAUGAUUCACUGUGGCUAACCUGGAAUACGAAGAGCCAGGCCUGCCUCUCAGCUGAUCCAGCUCCAGUUGGACUCUCUCCAGCUCAGCAAGCAGCUGCUCCUAAAGUACAGAGGAGAGAGUGCUGCCAUCCUCUCUUUGAGGUGGAGCUGCAGUCUCUCAUUGGACUCCGACAGAAGCUUGUCCACUGUAUCUGAGAGACGUUUGUUGUGUUCGUCAUUCAUCUUCUCCCUCUGCCUCGCCUAAAAUCAAGCAAGGCCACAAGAAAAGUGCUCAAGGGACUCCUUGCUGGCCAGCUCAUUUUCCAGCUUGUCUUUGAUAUCAUGGAGAGAAGUCGCCUCCCUCUGGGCGCUGAGGUACCUGCAUGCAACACGAAGCCACCAUCAAAUG
This is a long non-coding RNA of Toxotes jaculatrix (banded archerfish), 1110 nucleotides long. RefSeq lists it as uncharacterized. Lineage: Eukaryota; Metazoa; Chordata; Actinopteri; Toxotidae. The record is from RefSeq and is a predicted model, not a curated record. The transcript is spliced from 5 exons.